This 22-nucleotide small nuclear RNA is filed under the name Arabidopsis thaliana (thale cress). RNAcentral's name for it is "snRNA_07072". Lineage: Eukaryota; Viridiplantae; Streptophyta; Magnoliopsida; Brassicales; Brassicaceae. The record is from RNAcentral.
AUCGGGCGGUAAAUUCCGUCCA